GUAGGUGAACCUGCGGAAGGAUCAUUAACACGUUAUAAACGUAUCAACCAACCGCGAACUCUGACGUUAGUGGUCGCUCUCAGUUGGAGGCAACUCCCUCUGAGGGUGUACUGCGCCUGAGUAUGUUAGGGGAUAGUGGAGUUUAGGGGCUUCGGCCUCGACACAUUACUUCCUUUAGCAUCGUUCAACAUUAACCCAAACCCUUUUUGUUAUUAUUAUUUCUGUCUUAAAGGACGUGGCGUUUCACGCU
RNAcentral lists this unclassified non-coding RNA (250 nucleotides) under plant metagenome. RNAcentral describes it as "partial contains small subunit ribosomal RNA, internal transcribed spacer 1, and 5.8S ribosomal RNA". The record is from RNAcentral.